ACCAGAAUGGUGUAGUGGUUUGAGUGUUGGACUAGGGUGCUGAGGACCAGGGUUCAAAUCCCUGCUUGGCCA
Phrynosoma platyrhinos (Desert horned lizard) is the source of this 72-nucleotide non-coding RNA. NCBI's taxonomy places the organism in Eukaryota, Metazoa, Chordata, Lepidosauria, Squamata, Phrynosomatidae. The record is from the annotation of a GenBank genome assembly.